Long non-coding RNA from Gallus gallus (chicken), 4134 nucleotides. RefSeq lists it as uncharacterized. The transcript is spliced from 5 exons. NCBI's taxonomy places the organism in Eukaryota, Metazoa, Chordata, Aves, Galliformes, Phasianidae. The record is from RefSeq and is a predicted model, not a curated record.
ACAGGAGCAGCGGCGGGAUCACCCGCUGCGUGUACAAAACUUGCUGCUAGGGGGCGCAGCGCGGCACGAGGGCAGUUUGUGCGGGCAGUUCGCUAAGGGCAGAGGAGGACAGCGAGUAUCUCGGCCCAUCCGAGAGGCCGGCUCACCUCUCGGUUGCCAACCAGACAGCAGAUCUAGCCAUGGCCUCCACCGCGAGGCAGAAAGCUCUGGCAAGAAAGAAUGUGGCGACCCAGACCGAGUUCCCGCCUUUUUUAUGUGGCAGUUCAGGUCUGUGGCUGCAGUGAGUUCCUGAGCCUGUGGAUGCCAGUAAAGGCCGGCAGAGGGUUCCACCUGUGUGAGGUGUGAGCAGAUGUUGUGUGCCAGAAGAUUGCCUCAAUCUGCCAGUCAUGCUUUACCAAAGCACUCCACAGCCUAUCUGGUGUGGGAGAGCAGGAGAGAUGUUCCCAGCAAACAGCAGCACAAACUGAUGGCCCUGGAGUUCUACUGACAGUGCUUCCAAACACUUAUGGCUGUGAGGACAAAAGGAAUGAACGAGCUGCCUUCAGAUUAUGCUAAGCAACAGAAGCAGAGGUGCACGUUGAUUUUGGGAGCAGAAGGAUUUCCCACGUUGCUAGUGAAGUGUCUGUUUAAAGGUAACACCUUCUCUGCGGCACCGGUGAAGAAACUGCAUCCUGGUGUUAGACAGUCCUAAAGGACAGAAGAAAGAAAACCAGAAAGAGAGAAAGGACCACAAAACCCUGGUAAUUCUUCUCCCUUUGGGGAGACUUGUGCCGAGGUUCCUGUGCAAAACCAGCACAGCUGUAGGAAUUUUGAAAGCCUCUUGCUAUCAUCUCAGCAGACAGGCUCCUGGCAUGGAUGAAUUAGCACAGCUGCCAUCUAAGAUGUGAUCUAGUUCACAUGGGCGUCAAAAAAGAACAGCUUCAGUUUGUUAACGCUUUCCAUGAACAAGUGACUACAAAGAAAUAAUGUUGUUUAAACAGUUAGUUUCCCAAGUUUUGACAUUUAUAAAGCAAUUCACUAUUUUUAUUAUUGUUCUCCUAUUCUUGCUCUGUGUUAACUCGAUUCCACCUUAAUGAUUUGUUUGUUUUAUCUAGUCUUCAACAACUCUGCUGGAUGCUUCUUUUCUGUUUAGAAAUGGGAUUCCAUACUGCAUCAACCCUGUGAUCCUGCUGCUUGUGUGCUACUUGUGAGCGGGGAUAUAAACAUGCUUUCAAUCCAGCAUUUUAUUUACAAGGAAACUGGGCCAAAUUCCUCCUUUGUGAACUGAAAAAGUCUCUCUAGAUCAUACGUGCCCAACCCAUUAGUUUUAUGGUUUUUGUUGCCCUCUUUUUUAUGCUUUAAUGAAAAAUAUAUUUAAAAAUAAGUACAUAUGUUAUAUAUAUAUUAACAACAUUAUGUAUUUUAUGUGGCCUAAGACAAUUUCUCUUCACGCAGUGUGACCCAGGCAAGCUAAAAGGUUGGACACUCAGGCUCUAGACUAUUUAGGGGGAAAAAAAGCAUGAGAAGGGGUUCCAAAGUUUUUAACAUUUCUGUGUUUUUUGCUCACAGUUUUGGAAAAAAUGUUAUCCAUGUGCCAUGAAAUCAAAGCGAGGGGAAAAAGCAACUUUCAACAGCCAGUAGUGAGAAAUCCCUGUCCUCAGCUGGGCUUAUGAUAUACUCUUGGAAAGAAGAACUCAUUUUUCCUUUCUAAUUUCAGAGCAAUACUAGAUGUCCACAAAGCAAAUCCAGAUCUACUGGCCAAGCUGUGGAUCAUAAGGUGUUGUAGUGGUAGACCUGUGCUGCCCAAGCAGGCUUAAGUCUGGCUUGUUCUCUUGGGCACUUCCCCCUCCACACCUUGAGCUCUCUCUUCUAAAAAAAAAAACCACCAAUGUGAGCUGCAGGCGAUAUCUAGAAAAGUAAAAGCGGGCUGAAUACCCACCAGCUCAGGGCCAUGGUCUCUUUUUGGCGCUGAUCCAUGAGAUGAACCACAGGUGUGCCCUGGUGGGGGGCUGGCCCUGUUCUGCCCUGGCUACAGCUGUGGGCUAUUGCUGCCUAACUGCCUCCUGAUGGGAACCUGGCAAGAACAGGGUUUUGGUGUUAAGGUGUAAGUCUUUGGGUGUGGGGAUUGCUAUGUCCCUGUGACUCCCCUACUCCCUCAAAAAGGCUACUGAGGGGCAAGGGGCUGUUUUGUGCCUGUGAGAGGAUGUCAUGGCUCCAGGUGACGGAGGCUCCCUAGAGAGAGCUGGUUGUGCCCAGAUUUCUUUCUUCUCCCAGUGAGACAACCAACUGUAAGUGAGCAAACCACGGGGAUGUGGGUUUCUGCAUAACAAGGGGGGGAGAAGUUGCUGUGUGCUGCUGCUGGAUGUGCUCGCGUUGCUAUUGCUGUUAACAUUUAGUUCCCUGAAGUACCUCAGCUGACAUAACAGGCUUUGUGUAGUCGCAGCGCAUUGCUCUCGCGUUUCUCUCAUGUCUUCAUUCUCUGCUGCUUAACCUCUUCACCCUCGCCCCCAUCUUUGCCUUCUUAAGGUUCGUCGCCUGCUGCGCUGCUGCUAGAAAUCACUCUGCUCUCACUGUCAGCUACUUACUUACUUCUAAAUCACUUCUUUUAUUUCCCUUCUCGGAUUCCUUGUAAAGGAACGUUAUCUGCCUGUGUGUGUUCUUGUACAUUUUCCUUCCCGCUGUUUGCCUGACAAUAUUUCUGUCAGAAGCUGGAGGAUUAUUUUAUGGCACACUCUGCAUUAUCUCCUAUGACAGAUUGUGGACGUUGCUUUUGUGUUGUGUGAGCAUUGCUGUUGCUCUUCUUCUCCAUAGUCUCGUUUUGUGCUUUUGAUAAAUGGUACAAAUAAGAUCCCUUGGCUUGAAGGAAGCCUUCACGUGAGCCCUCUCUAUGAAAGUGCCAGGCAGAAUGUACACCUGUGCUGAAAUUGCUCUCCGUUUCUUCCUUUUUAUUGAAGUUUCAGUGGAGAGCUCCCAGAGGGAUGCGUAGGUUCAUAGAGUGGUAGCAUUGUUUGAGUUGAGAGGGACACUUAAAGGCCACGUAGUCCAACUCCCCUGCAAUGACCAGGGACACCUACAGCUACAUCAGGUGCUCAGAGCCCCCUCUAACCUGACCCUGAAUGUGUCCAGGGAUGGGGCAUCCACCACCUCUCUAGGCAACCUGUGCCAGUGCCUCACUAACCUAAAUCUCCCCUCCUUUAGUUUGGAACCACUUCUCCCUCUAUCAGAACAGGCUUUGUUAUGGUCCCCUUCUUUCCAAUUCCCCCCCUUUAGAUACUGAAGGGCCACUAUCGGGUCUCCCCGGAGCCUUCUCCAGGCUGAACAGCCCCAGCUCUCUGCCCGUCCUUGCAGUGAGGUGUUCCAUCUCCCCUGCUCAAAGGUCCAGCACGACCAGAGUGUCCGGGCACGCAGUUGCAAAGCUGUGCGGGCUGAGUUGGUCCGUGCGAUAUCAAAAUCUGCCUUCCGCUGUCUUUUAUGAACGCAGCCCUGUGCAGAAGGACGGGGUUUUCUGCGUACAGAUCUCACGCCCUUCCGCGUGUGUGCAGGGUCAGGGCUGGGAGCUCGUGUCCCCCCGUGUCCCCCCGUGCCCCCCGCUCUCCCCAGCCGCCCCCAUCCUUGUUGGGGGUCCGAGGAUGAGCGAUGCAGCCGGGCAGGACGGCUUUAGGAGAGUCUUUUAUCAGGUGCAUCUCCGUUUUUCGAGUGCCUAUCGUAUCACGCAAACUGCUCUUGAAGAGCCCUCCAUUUACCCUCUCCCCUAAUUAAAUGUGCACUUCAUUAAUGUAAAUUGGGGGUUUAAUGCUCUUGUUGAAAUUCUGAAGAAAGUGCUAUGGCCUCGCGAAAUGCUUAAGCAUCAUUGCAAAUUAGAUUAGGGACCAAGAAAGGCAGUAAAAUUAGAAUGAUAAUGGUUGAUGUGGCUUCCUGACAGGCGUGACUAUUCAGGGAUCAAUGGGAUGGAGAACAGUUUCCCCCAGCCGAAAGCGAAAGGCAGGGACAGACGUCAGCCUACAGAUGUGGCUUUUGGAAGCUCUUUCAAUUAGUUUAAUUUGGUAAAUGGUGGGGAUUUAGAGGCUCUUAGCCAGUCACACAAGACAAGAAUACAUUGAAAUGUUUCUCGGCUUUUUAACAUAAAAUAGGAUCGGCCGCAUUUGCAUUUCUUAA